GAUGAACGCUGGCGGCGUGCCUAAUACAUGCAAGUCGAGCGAACAGACGAGGAGCUUGCUCCUCUGACGUUAGCGGCGGACGGGUGAGUAACACGUGGAUAACCUACCUAUAAGACUGGGAUAACUUCGGGAAACCGGAGCUAAUACCGGAUAAUAUAUUGAACCGCAUGGUUCAAUAGUGAAAGACGGUUUUGCUGUCACUUAUAGAUGGAUCCGCGCCGCAUUAGCUAGUUGGUAAGGUAACGGCUUACCAAGGCAACGAUGCGUAGCCGACCUGAGAGGGGGAUCGGCCACACGGGAACGGAGACACGGUCCAGACCCCUAGGGGGGGCAGCAGUAGGGAAUCUUCCGAAAUGGGCGAAAGCCUGACGGAGCAACGCCGGGUGGGUGAUGAAGGUCUUCGGAUCGUAAAACUUUGUUAUUAGGGAAAAACAAAUGUGUAAGUAACUAUGCACGUCUUGACGGUACCUAAUCAGAAAGCCCCGGCUAACUACGU
This 496-nucleotide ribosomal RNA is filed under the name uncultured bacterium. RNAcentral's name for it is "partial 16S ribosomal RNA". It matches the Rfam family "Bacterial small subunit ribosomal RNA", at positions 28 to 506 of the family's 1533-position model. The record is from RNAcentral.